Molecule: ribosomal RNA, 442 nt
Filed under: uncultured bacterium
Lineage: Bacteria
Description: bacterial SSU rRNA
Rfam family: Bacterial small subunit ribosomal RNA
Source: RNAcentral
GAUGAACGCUGGCGGUAUGCCUAACACAUGCAAGUCGUACGAGAGUUUUUAACUCUAGUGGCGGACGGGUGAGUAACACGUGAGAAUUUGCCUUUAGGAGGGGGAUAACAAUUGGAAACGAAUGCUAAUACCCCAUAUGCUUUUGAGUGAAAUGGAUUUUAUCCGCCUAGAGAGAAGCUCGCGGCUGAUUAGCUUGUUGGUAAGGUAAGAGCUUACCAAGGCGACGAUCAGUAUCUGGUUUGAGAGGACGAUCAGACACACUGGAACUGAGACACGGUCCAGACUCCUACGGGAGGCAGCAGUGGGGAAUUUUCCGCAAUGGGCGAAAGCCUGACGGAGCAAUACCGCGUGAGGGAAGAAUGCCUAUGGGUUGUAAACCUCUUUUUCAGGGUAGGAAUAAAAUGACGUGUACCUGAAGAAUAAGCAUCGGCUAACUACCGUG